GUUGAAGGGUUUGGGCGUUGGCAGGCGUUGGCGCUUGAAUAUUGCGUCGUUUGAUCCGCUAAAGUUACUCCAUUGAGGAUAAAUGGGGGAAAAUAAAUGUUUUGCUCUUGGGUGCAUAUCCAGUGAGCACAGCAGAAUAAAAUUUUUCCAUUUUCCCAGGGAUUCUGCAAGUUCUGGGGGAUUAUCUCCGAUGACCAUGGAAUCGACUCAACUGGCGCCUACCAGGGUAACUCCGACCUCCAAAGUGAGAGAUUACAUGUCUACUACGACGAAUCAUCUGGUGGACAGUACACACCCCGCGCCAUCUUGUUGGAUCUUGACCCCGACUCGGUGAACAAUGUCUGAUCAGGGCCUCUCGGUCAUAUGUUCAGACUGCACAGCUUCCUUUCCGGUCAGGGUGGUGCUGGCAGCAACUGGGCUGUGGGGCACUACACUGCCGGUGCUGAGUUCGUCGCCCCUGUGAUGGACGCUUUAAGAAGAGAAGCAGAGAUUUGUGACCCUCUUCAGGGAUUUCAGCUGACCCACUCCUUGGGAGGGGAACUGGUUCUGGAUUUGGCACACUGCUUAUUUCCAGGAUCAGAGAAGUAUACCCAGAUAGGAUAAUUGCAACGUAUUCUGUUGCACCUUCCAACACCACAAUACGCAAACACACUCUGCCAGACCUUAUUGAAAUAUCAUUGGAAUAUUACAACGCAUUACUGGCCGUCAGUCGACUCUUUAAAGAUGAUGUCGUGACUCAUUUAUUGGACAGUGAUGCUCUCCACCGCAUUUCCUGUGGAGCACAGGAACACAUGAAUCACCAAAUUUCCCUAGUAAUGUGUAGACUGACCACUUGCUUCCGGUUCUGGGAUAUGCUGAUGGGCACUCUGAGUCAAUUUGCUAAUAGCAUGGUCCCACUUGAACAGUUCCACUUCCUUGUGCCAAGCUCUGCUCCUCUCACCGCCCGUGAUAGCUGACAGUACCCAGCCCUCACAAUACCAGAACUGGUAAAACAAAUAUUUAAUGCCAGGAACAUGAUGGCUGCCUGUGAUCCAGAACAUUACACCUACAUUUCAUCUGCGGCUAUAUUCCGUGGGCCCAUGUCCGCGACAGAGACUGAAGAAGAAGUGAAAAACUUCCCAUGCCGGAAACUGCCAUAUGUAAUGUUUCAAUACGAGGACAUGACAUGUCAGCGACCUUAAGUCUCAACUCCACUGCAGUAAUGCAAGUGAUAGAACGCAUUGCAUUUGAACUACCAACAUUCGUGGGGAAUGGGUAUGCCUUGGAUUUAUUCUCAGCAGACGGAAUAACUGAUCAGCUGCUCAUAGAUGCACAGGAAACCGUGAGGGGCAUGGUGGAUUAAUACAAAACCAUGAACUGGAUCCAAUUCUCUUAAGGAUAAGAAUUAGAAUAUAAAUGCAAAAACAUAUUAACAGUUGUUCAUGUGUUUUGCAUUUAUAUUCUAAAUCCUAGAGGACCACAUGCAUAUCCCUGGCCAAAGCUUCUUGUGUUAAAGCUUCAGUUGUACUGUUCAUGUGUUUUUGCAUUUGUGGGAACAUCCCACAUAUAUUUAUACAGCACCCACUUUCCAUCUCACUUUUAACCAUCACGCGCGCUAACCAAUCACGUGGCUUCCCACGCUCGCAUUUAUACAGCACUUGCUGUUUAGCCUCAUGAAGAUCAUUACACACGCUAGCCAAUCAGCGCACUGCAAAUUUCGCUCCCCUGCCAAGCAUUGUAUAAAAGGUGGAGUACAAAGCUCGCAAGUCAGGCCGCAUCCCGCUAAUUAUCGGGGUUGCAAAUGUGCCAAGGAGGAGCAACAGAAAAGGAAGGCUCAGAGAAUGUCCAAAACUACCACAGGGACGGUGUUCUCUUCAACCAUCGUCACUCCAGGUGUCUCCUUCGCGGCGGCACUCCGAGGCAGUACAGUAGAGCAGCUGCAGCAGCACCCUCAGGAAAGCCAUGUUCGAUGGCUCCACCCACAGCAAGGAAGCAGAUUGUACCGGCCCCUGCACUGCAGAAGGAAACAGGUGAGAUGCUCUGGCCAGCUGUGAUGUUAAACUCUGCCUGCCGAAGUCGUAUAGAGUGUUGUGAACCGAAGCGCUGGGCGUGCAGGUAAGCAAGAUCCCCUUGAGGACUUGGAUGUAAGAAAUCAGGUAGCUGACAUGAAUUUGUGAGGUGGAAUCAAACACUUUACUUGAGCAAGACAUGAAAAUAGUUACAGCACAGGAAUCAAACCCCUGACUCCCGAGAGCGGUACGCUCUCCGACGUAAGCACUGUAUAUUGAUUAUCCUUAUAAUGAACUCUUACAAUGCCAGCCCUUAUAUAUUAAUGCCUUCGGGCGUGGCAAAAUCAUGUGACUUUAUAGCGUCUAUUUCCUUAUAAGGAGAGCUUGGCCCCUGGAUACUCGAGCCAAUUCUUGGAACCAUAACGUCACUCUUAGUGCCAUGUGCACAGCUUAUGUCUUCAUUUUCAAGUUACAACAUACAUGUUUACAUUAGGGCUAUUCUACCGUUUUAUGCUAUGUAUCAAGAGCAUCUCACAAUGUCUUAUGCCCAAUUAACAUAAUAAAACACUAUUAAACAUCAAAAAACUCAAUACAUAGUUCUAUUAUUCAUCAGAUUAGCGUAACCACAUUACACCUUGAGGUCCACAAAUGAAAAAUAUCGAUUUCCGUUUAGUCUGUCCAGGUUCUCUUGCACUAGCGGCAUGCAGAACACCGGUAUCUUCGUCACUGCAUUCAGGCCUCUGAAGUCUGCGCAGAAUUGAUACUUAACCGUUCCGUCAGUACUUUCCUUUCUGAUCAAGAUAACUGGUGCGGCACAUUCCGUGGCAGCUUUCGUCAACACGCAUCUUUGCACCAUAUCGUCAGUCUGGUUUCUCAGCUCUUCUCUCAGAGCAUACGCGAUACGAUAUGGAUUCCGUUUUACAGGUUUCGCCUCACCUGUAUCAAUUUCAUGGAGUCCGAAGUCCGUGCGCGGAAUUAUCCCAUUUUCGUCUUUUUAAAGAGAUCUUGAUAGUCGAGCAGAGCUGGUUUUAUAACUCGUUUUUCCUCUGCUGUUAAGUGGCUUAUUUUCUCCUCUAGUAACCUAGGUACACUGGCAUUCUGUUCCCUCACUUUGGGGUCCAGUUGUCGGGGGUACCUAUCCGUUUUCAAUAUAUUUGGUCGGAUGGUCGCGUCGUCUUUGUGACGUCAUCUACGAGGUCUGCUUCCGUAAUGUCACAGACGUUAGCGAUAUUUGUCUCCGGUUGCAACGUAACACUUUCUCUGCUGGUGUUAAUCAGCUAGGCAGUGCAGUAGGUUGCUAUGUUUGCACUUUGCUCGUCGCUGACGUUGCGUUCACGUGUCUUGUGAAUGCGAUGUUCUAUCAACGCUAUACUCGUAAAAAACGCCGGAAACUAUCCGAGCAGUAUAAAUUCCUCGAAGCGGUAUCUCCACCGUUUCGGAAUGUAUCCAUUUCUUGAGGGAUGCUUUCGGCACAGCUUUCUGUUCUGUUAUCUUUCCUCUUGUGACCAAAAGUGUUCUGGGUUCUAGUAAAUCGUUUCUGGCAACACAGCUUGCCAUUGGUGGAGUGUUUCCACCUACCCGUCUUCCGCUGACGAUUCUGUCUCGCUGGGUUCGGCUGAGGCCUCCUUUACCUCACAUUUCACUAGUCUUCUUGACUCUUUGGUUAUUCGUGUAGCCGUCCUUGCUUCCUCUUUUACGUUUUCCUGAGGUUGCGGCUCCGUCCUUCUCACCGUUGACUUCUGAAUAUUCGCCUUUCUCCUUCCUGUCGGAGGGUACAUCAGCUUGACUGUCUGGCCGUCCAGGUUUAUCUCCUGCGGCUAUGUCAAUACGGCCGCCUAGCCCUCUCAAUAAAUCUAGCCCAAAUAUUCCGUGUUUCUGGAUCGGAAAGGGCGCUACCACAAAAUCGUGGGUGUACUGCUUGUCCCCAAUGACGAAUUCUAUCCGUCUGGUUCCUUCAAUUUCCAAGUCCUGUCCGGUUAUGGCCCUAACCGCUUCCCUAAUUUCCAUCGUGGGUUCAUCCCCCACAAAUGGUUGAACUAGACACACGUCUGCUUCGGUGUCAGUAAUAAAAUUGUGAUCUGUCCCUAGGACCUUUACCUCAAUACACAAUUCUCUGUUCUCUCCUGCUGUGGCUAGCGGUGUACAGGCGGCUGUAUUCCGACGAUUGAUGGGGCGUUCUACCGUCGAAAUUAUUUAGGGAGCGAUCACCUGUCUCUUUUGUUGGCUUCUUUCUUGCCUCACACUUUCAGGCUGUAUGACCCUGUUGUCCACAUGAGAAGCAUGUAAUCCUGGGGUCGAACCUGACCUUUGCUCCUUUCCCGUGGUUCCUGUGGUCGUCGUGUCGGUGACCCUCUUGGCUAACCGUUCUGACGCCAUGGUUGCUUGUAUUGGUUUGAUUUUGUGGAGUCCUUUCUUUCCGUUUUCACGACUAGUGUCUCGUGGUCCCUGGGACGCUGCUCCAUUAGCUUUGCGUUGUGCACCAUUGUGGUUAUGUUCAACGCUUGUUCCACCGUCUGGGGUUUGCAGAUUCUUAACUCCCUCCCUGGAUCACAAUUUGUAUUAAUCUACCAUGCCCCUCACGUUUGCCUGUGCAUCGUUGAACAGUUCAUCAGUUAUUCCAUCUGCUGAAAAUAAUUUCAAGGCACACUCAUUCCCCCUAUAUGUUGGUCAUUCAAAUGCCAUGCGUUUUAUCACUUUUCUUACAGAAGUGGAAUUGAGGCUUAAGGUCGCUGAUAGGUCAUGACCUCUUACUGAAACAUUACAUGUGGCAUUUGCCGGCAUGGGCAUAAUCUUUCUUUGCCACAAGUUUUCCAGUUCUUCUUCAUCCUCUGUCGCGGAUAUGGGCCCACAGAAUAUAGCCGCAGAUGAAAUAUAGGUGUACUGUUCCGGAUCACAGGCAGCCAUCGUGUUUCUGGCGUUAAAUAUUUGUGUUACCAGUUCAGGUAAUGUGAGGGCUGGGCACUGCUGGCAACCACGGGCAGUGAGAGGAGCAAAGCUUGGCACAAGGAAUCUGAACUGUUCAAUUGGGACCAUGCUAUUAGCAAAUUGACAGUGCCCAUCCGCAUAUCCCGGAACCGGAAGCAAGUGGUCAAACCCGACAUUACCAUGGAAAUUUGCCGAUUCAUGUCAUCAGUCGUGGGACUCGUGUCCCUGUGCUCUACAGAUGUAGUGCAGAGCAUCAUUGUGUAAUAGAUGUUAUGACCUUAUCGCUGAACAUUCCAUUUACAGCGAGUAAGGCGUUGUAAUGUUCUAACGAACCUUCCUUGACGUCUGGUUGAGUGCGCCUGCU
Cryptotermes secundus is the source of this 5277-nucleotide long non-coding RNA. RefSeq lists it as uncharacterized. The transcript has 4 exons. NCBI's taxonomy places the organism in Eukaryota, Metazoa, Arthropoda, Insecta, Blattodea, Kalotermitidae. The record is from RefSeq and is a predicted model, not a curated record.